UAAUUGAGACCCUUCAUAAAACAUGUUCACAGAUGUCUUCAUUCGAACAGCAGUGUGUUAUACUUGUGGACUUCUAUGUAUCUCUUUUCUUCGUCGAGAUAUCCAAGAUACAACCAGAGGAUUUCUGCAGAAAGGUCAAUCUUUGUGAGAACACGGUAUUCCUUUCUCUUCCAAAGAAGGAAGAUAAAUGCACACUCUGUCACCGUGUUGUGGAUGUAGUUCUAACUAAA
Molecule: unclassified non-coding RNA, 230 nt
Filed under: Hevea brasiliensis (rubber tree)
Lineage: Eukaryota; Viridiplantae; Streptophyta; Magnoliopsida; Malpighiales; Euphorbiaceae
Source: RNAcentral